UAAGGAAUAUUGCUCAAUGGGAGAAAUCCUGAAGCAGCAACGCCGCGUGGAGGAUGAAGGGUCUAUGACUUGUAAACUCCUGUAAAGAAGGAAAAAAUUCCCCUUAGAUGGGAGAUGAUGGUACUUCUGGAGUAAGCCCCGGCUAACUACGUGCCAGCAGCCGCGGUAAUACGUCGGGGGCAAGCGUUGUCCGGAUUUACUGGGUGUAAAGGGUGCUCAGGCGGAUUUGUAAGUCAGAGGUGAAAUCUUACAGCUUAACUGUGAAACUGCCUUUGAUACUGCAAGCCUAGAGUAUGGAAGAGAGUGAUGGAAUAUCUGGUGUAGCAGUGAAAUGCGUAGAUAUCAGAUAGAACACCUAUGGCGAAGGCAGUCACUUGGUCCAUUACUGACGCUAAAGCACGAAAGCUUG
Molecule: ribosomal RNA, 409 nt
Filed under: uncultured bacterium
Lineage: Bacteria
Description: bacterial SSU rRNA
Rfam family: Bacterial small subunit ribosomal RNA
Source: RNAcentral